GGCCCUAUGGUCAAGCGGUUAAGACAUCGCCCUUUCACGGCGGUAUCCCGGGUUCGAAUCCCGGUAGGGUCACCA
Molecule: transfer RNA, 75 nt
Filed under: Finegoldia magna
Lineage: Bacteria; Bacillati; Bacillota; Tissierellia; Tissierellales; Peptoniphilaceae
Also listed under: 33 other names
Description: tRNA-Glu
Rfam family: tRNA
About the family: Transfer RNA (tRNA) molecules are approximately 80 nucleotides in length. Their secondary structure includes four short double-helical elements and three loops (D, anti-codon, and T loops).
Source: RNAcentral